This 109-nucleotide small RNA is filed under the name Paenibacillus sp. Its description in RNAcentral is "Guanidine-I sequence". It matches the Rfam family "Guanidine-I riboswitch aptamer". From Rfam's summary of the family: This family represents a conserved RNA structure found upstream of the ykkC and yxkD genes in Bacillus subtilis and related genes in other bacteria. The function of this family is unclear although it has been suggested that it may function to switch on efflux pumps and detoxification systems in response to harmful environmental molecules. Lineage: Bacteria; Bacillati; Bacillota; Bacilli; Caryophanales; Paenibacillaceae. RNAcentral also lists the same sequence under 1 other name. The record is from RNAcentral.
AAACUUGUUUUCUAGGGUUCCGCGACAGAAUGAAGGCUGUUGGUCAGGUCCAAGAGAAGACACACGGUGAGCUUCAUCGUGCACACGGAGGGAUAAAAGCCCGGGAGGA